Molecule: ribosomal RNA, 429 nt
Filed under: Chloroflexota bacterium
Lineage: Bacteria; Bacillati; Chloroflexota
Description: Chloroflexi bacterium partial 16S ribosomal RNA
Rfam family: Bacterial small subunit ribosomal RNA
Source: RNAcentral
UGGGGAAUAUUGCACAAUGGGCGCAAGCCUGAUGCAGCCAUGCCGCGUGUAUGAAGAAGGCCUUCGGGUUGUAAUGUACUUUCAGCGGGGAGGAAGGGAGUAAAGUUAAUACCUUUGCUCAUUGACGUUACCCGCAGAAGAAGCACCGGCUAACUCCGUGCCAGCAGCCGCGGUAAUACGGAGGGUGCAAGCGUUAAUCGGAAUUACUGGGCGUAAAGCGCACGCAGGCGGUCUGUCAAGUCGGAUGUGAAAUCCCCGGGCUCAACCUGGGAACUGCAUUCGAAACUGGCAGGCUAGAGUCUUGUAGAGGGGGGUAGAAUUCCAGGUGUAGCGGUGAAAUGCGUAGAGAUCUGGAGGAAUACCGGUGGCGAAGGCGGCCCCCUGGACAAAGACUGACGCUCAGGUGCGAAAGCGUGGGGAGCAAACAGG